CCUACGGGGGGCUGCAGUGGGGAAUAUUGCGCAAUGGGCGAAAGCCUGACGCAGCGACGCCGCGUGAGGGAUGAAGGUCUUCGGAUCGUAAACCUCUGUCAGCAGGGAAGAAAGGUCACUGUGCUAAUCAGCAGUGAAUUGACGGUACCUGCAAAGGAAGCACCGGCUAACUCCGUGCCAGCAGCCGCGGUAAUACGGAGGGUGCGAGCGUUAAUCGGAAUUGCUGGGCGUAAAGGGCUCGUAGGCGGGAUGUCAAGUCAAGGGUGAAAUCCCCGCGCUCAACGUGGGAACUGCAUUUGAAACUGGCAGACUGGAGUGUGGGAGAGGAUAGUGGAAUUCCAGGUGUAGGAGUGAAAUGCGUAGAUAUCUGGAGGAACAUCAGUGGCGAAGGCGACUAUCUGGAACAUGACUGACGCUGAGGAGCGAAAGCGUGGGUAGCAAACAGGAUUAGAUACCCGAGUAGUC
This 465-nucleotide ribosomal RNA is filed under the name uncultured bacterium. RNAcentral's name for it is "partial 16S ribosomal RNA". It matches the Rfam family "Bacterial small subunit ribosomal RNA", at positions 338 to 795 of the family's 1533-position model. The record is from RNAcentral.